This 271-nucleotide ribosomal RNA is filed under the name uncultured bacterium. RNAcentral describes it as "partial 16S ribosomal RNA". It matches the Rfam family "Bacterial small subunit ribosomal RNA", at positions 524 to 794 of the family's 1533-position model. The record is from RNAcentral.
UACGGAGGGGGCUAGCGUUGUUCGGAAUUACUGGGCGUAAAGCGCACGUAGGCGGCGAUCUAAGUCAGAGGUGAAAGCCCGGGGCUCAACCCCGGAAUAGCCUUUGAGACUGGAUUGCUAGAAUCCGGGAGAGGUGAGUGGAAUUCCGAGUGUAGAGGUGAAAUUCGUAGAUAUUCGGAAGAACACCAGUGGCGAAGGCGACUACCUGGACUGAUACUGACACUGAGGUGCGAAAGCGUGGGGAGCAAACAGGAUUAGAAACCCUUGUAGU